CUCCUUGCUCAUCCUGCACAUUUAGAAACACAUGCAGGGCUGAGUAUAAAAUACUCAGUGGACAUAAGCCGGAAAAUAAACAAUCUCGCUCUUAGAGCUAUACAUUUAACUUGCCAUUUAUACAUCACACAGGGGUUUUUCUUUAAAAGAACCAGUGUAAGCAAUUGAUAAAUUAUAAGCAUCAUAAAGUAAUGAAAGAUAGACUGCAGUCACAAAUACUUAGCAUGUAGUACCGCUUCUACAACUCAUCAUCAUCAUGGUACUGAGAAGUAGGCCUCCUUCUCAAGCACCGUAACCGGCCGACCUGACAGUCGGCUCACAGUCAUUUCUAACCGGCCAACCCGGUAUACAGCUCACGGUUACCUCCGUGUACACAAUCCCGCCUUUGGCAGGACCCGAAAUCGUCUCAUCCGUAGAGGGUAACGUACAGGCUCGUCGUUAUCAAAACUCGGCAAGUUAAUUUGUUCAAACAUCAAUUUAUCUCAGAUCAUCUUAAAACUUAUAGUCAUCAUCAAAAUCAUCAUUUAUAAAGCCAGUAAUAGAGGUAUUAGAAAGUAAUGCCCACCUGGAAAUCUUAGCUUUGGUCCUCGUACUUUGGAGAAAUUCUACUUAUGCCCUUGACUCGUGUCUUCAGAUAUCAUCGUUUGCAUAGACGAUCAUGUAAAAAUAAACGUCAAUCAGAUAAAUCCUCACUAGGUUUACUAUUCUUAUCUAAGUACUAGUCUUCCUUUCUCAUUGUUUCCUUGUAUCUAUCACUCUAAUAAUACAUCCUAAGUAUUCAUCGUUUCCAC
RNAcentral lists this long non-coding RNA (791 nucleotides) under Salvia miltiorrhiza (redroot sage). RNAcentral describes it as "long non-coding RNA (SMIL_LNC006228)". Lineage: Eukaryota; Viridiplantae; Streptophyta; Magnoliopsida; Lamiales; Lamiaceae. The record is from RNAcentral.